GGGAUGCGAGGCAGGACGCCGAGCAAGCCGCACCGGGCCAUGGAUGGCCCGUUGCGGCGGCCCC
Pseudomonas syringae pv. tomato str. DC3000 is the source of this 64-nucleotide regulatory RNA element. Lineage: Bacteria; Pseudomonadati; Pseudomonadota; Gammaproteobacteria; Pseudomonadales; Pseudomonadaceae. The record is from Rfam.